GGUUAAGCGACUAAGCGUACACGGUGGAUGCCCUGGCAGUCAGAGGCGAUGAAGGACGUGCUAAUCUGCGAUAAGCGUCGGUAAGGUGAUAUGAACCGUUAUAACCGGCGAUUUCCGAAUGGGGAAACCCAGUGUGUUUCGACACACUAUCAUUAACUGAAUCCAUAGGUUAAUGAGGCGAACCGGGGGAACUGAAACAUCUAAGUACCCCGAGGAAAAGAAAUCAACCGAGAUUCCCCCAGUAGCGGCGAGCGAACGGGGAGCAGCCCAGAGCCUGAAUCAGUGUGUGUGUUAGUGGAAGCGUCUGGAAAGGCGCGCGAUACAGGGUGACAGCCCCGUACACAAAAAUGCACAUGCUGUGAGCUCGAUGAGUAGGGCGGGACACGUGGUAUCCUGUCUGAAUAUGGGGGGACCAUCCUCCAAGGCUAAAUACUCCUGACUGACCGAUAGUGAACCAGUACCGUGAGGGAAAGGCGAAAAGAACCCCGGCGAGGGGAGUGAAAAAGAACCUGAAACCGUGUACGUACAAGCAGUGGGAGCACGCUUAGGCGUGUGACUGCGUACCUUUUGUAUAAUGGGUCAGCGACUUAUAUUCUGUAGCAAGGUUAACCGAAUAGGGGAGCCGAAGGGAAACCGAGUCUUAACUGGGCGUUAAGUUGCAGGGUAUAGACCCGAAACCCGGUGAUCUAGCCAUGGGCAGGUUGAAGGUUGGGUAACACUAACUGGAGGACCGAACCGACUAAUGUUGAAAAAUUAGCGGAUGACUUGUGGCUGGGGGUGAAAGGCCAAUCAAACCGGGAGAUAGCUGGUUCUCCCCGAAAGCUAUUUAGGUAGCGCCUCGUGAAUUCAUCUCCGGGGGUAGAGCACUGUUUCGGCAAGGGGGUCAUCCCGACUUACCAACCCGAUGCAAACUGCGAAUACCGGAGAAUGUUAUCACGGGAGACACACGGCGGGUGCUAACGUCCGUCGUGAAGAGGGAAACAACCCAGACCGCCAGCUAAGGUCCCAAAGUCAUGGUUAAGUGGGAAACGAUGUGGGAAGGCCCAGACAGCCAGGAUGUUGGCUUAGAAGCAGCCAUCAUUUAAAGAAAGCGUAAUAGCUCACUGGUCGAGUCGGCCUGCGCGGAAGAUGUAACGGGGCUAAACCAUGCACCGAAGCUGCGGCAGCGACACUAUGUGUUGUUGGGUAGGGGAGCGUUCUGUAAGCCUGUGAAGGUGUACUGUGAGGUAUGCUGGAGGUAUCAGAAGUGCGAAUGCUGACAUAAGUAACGAUAAAGCGGGUGAAAAGCCCGCUCGCCGGAAGACCAAGGGUUCCUGUCCAACGUUAAUCGGGGCAGGGUGAGUCGACCCCUAAGGCGAGGCCGAAAGGCGUAGUCGAUGGGAAACAGGUUAAUAUUCCUGUACUUGGUGUUACUGCGAAGGGGGGACGGAGAAGGCUAUGUUGGCCGGGCGACGGUUGUCCCGGUUUAAGCGUGUAGGCUGGUUUUCCAGGCAAAUCCGGAAAAUCAAGGCUGAGGCGUGAUGACGAGGCACUACGGUGCUGAAGCAACAAAUGCCCUGCUUCCAGGAAAAGCCUCUAAGCAUCAGGUAACAUCAAAUCGUACCCCAAACCGACACAGGUGGUCAGGUAGAGAAUACCAAGGCGCUUGAGAGAACUCGGGUGAAGGAACUAGGCAAAAUGGUGCCGUAACUUCGGGAGAAGGCACGCUGAUAUGUAGGUGAGGUCCCUCGCGGAUGGAGCUGAAAUCAGUCGAAGAUACCAGCUGGCUGCAACUGUUUAUUAAAAACACAGCACUGUGCAAACACGAAAGUGGACGUAUACGGUGUGACGCCUGCCCGGUGCCGGAAGGUUAAUUGAUGGGGUUAGCGCAAGCGAAGCUCUUGAUCGAAGCCCCGGUAAACGGCGGCCGUAACUAUAACGGUCCUAAGGUAGCGAAAUUCCUUGUCGGGUAAGUUCCGACCUGCACGAAUGGCGUAAUGAUGGCCAGGCUGUCUCCACCCGAGACUCAGUGAAAUUGAACUCGCUGUGAAGAUGCAGUGUACCCGCGGCAAGACGGAAAGACCCCGUGAACCUUUACUAUAGCUUGACACUGAACAUUGAGCCUUGAUGUGUAGGAUAGGUGGGAGGCUUAGAAGUGUGGACGCCAGUCUGCAUGGAGCCGACCUUGAAAUACCACCCUUUAAUGUUUGAUGUUCUAACGUUGACCCGUAAUCCGGGUUGCGGACAGUGUCUGGUGGGUAGUUUGACUGGGGCGGUCUCCUCCUAAAGAGUAACGGAGGAGCACGAAGGUUGGCUAAUCCUGGUCGGACAUCAGGAGGUUAGUGCAAUGGCAUAAGCCAGCUUGACUGCGAGCGUGACGGCGCGAGCAGGUGCGAAAGCAGGUCAUAGUGAUCCGGUGGUUCUGAAUGGAAGGGCCAUCGCUCAACGGAUAAAAGGUACUCCGGGGAUAACAGGCUGAUACCGCCCAAGAGUUCAUAUCGACGGCGGUGUUUGGCACCUCGAUGUCGGCUCAUCACAUCCUGGGGCUGAAGUAGGUCCCAAGGGUAUGGCUGUUCGCCAUUUAAAGUGGUACGCGAGCUGGGUUUAGAACGUCGUGAGACAGUUCGGUCCCUAUCUGCCGUGGGCGCUGGAGAACUGAGGGGGGCUGCUCCUAGUACGAGAGGACCGGAGUGGACGCAUCACUGGUGUUCGGGUUGUCAUGCCAAUGGCACUGCCCGGUAGCUAAAUGCGGAAGAGAUAAGUGCUGAAAGCAUCUAAGCACGAAACUUGCCCCGAGAUGAGUUCUCCCUGACUCCUUGAGAGUCCUGAAGGAACGUUGAAGACGACGACGUUGAUAGGCCGGGUGUGUAAGCGCAGCGAUGCGUUGAGCUAACCGGUACUAAUGAACCGUGAGGCUUAACCUU
This 2903-nucleotide ribosomal RNA is filed under the name Escherichia coli. Its description in RNAcentral is "23S ribosomal RNA". It matches the Rfam family "Bacterial large subunit ribosomal RNA". The record is from RNAcentral. Lineage: Bacteria; Pseudomonadati; Pseudomonadota; Gammaproteobacteria; Enterobacterales; Enterobacteriaceae.